Molecule: ribosomal RNA, 253 nt
Filed under: uncultured bacterium
Lineage: Bacteria
Description: partial 16S ribosomal RNA
Rfam family: Bacterial small subunit ribosomal RNA
Source: RNAcentral
UACGUAUGGUGCAAGCGUUAUCCGGAUUUACUGGGUGUAAAGGGAGCGUAGGUGGUUUGGUAAGUCAGAUGUGAAAGCCCGGGGCUCAACCCCGGUACUGCAUUUGAAACUACCAAACUAGAGUGCAGGAGAGGUAAGUGGAAUUCCUAGUGUAGCGGUGAAAUGCGUAGAUAUUAGGAGGAACACCAGUGGCGAAGGCGGCUUACUGGACUGUAACUGACACUGAGGCUCGAAAGCGUGGGGAGCAAACAGG